GUUGGCUAUGGUGAUAUGGUGCCCAGAACCUAUGCUGGCAUGAUGAUUGGUGCUCUGUGUGCAGUUGCCGGUGUGCUUUGCAUUGCCCUUCCAGUGCCCGUUAUCGUCUCCAAU
Molecule: regulatory RNA element, 114 nt
Organism: Tetranychus urticae (two-spotted spider mite)
Lineage: Eukaryota; Metazoa; Arthropoda; Arachnida; Trombidiformes; Tetranychidae
Rfam family: Potassium channel RNA editing signal
About the family: This family represents a group of sequences related to the human potassium channel Kv1.1 hairpin element which directs the efficient modification of an adenosine to inosine by an adenosine deaminase acting on RNA (ADAR).
Source: Rfam